ACUUUGGUCAGAAAUAAUACCUAAAGGUAUUCCUUUUCUGCAAUCUAAAGUGCUUUGAAAUUUUGAAGGGAUCAUAAAUUUCCUUUUGGAGGCCAAGGGGCUUUAGCAUGAGGCUGCCUUUCAGUCCUUCAUUAUUUAUGAGCAGACCAUUUUCGAUAGACUACGAACCACUCAAACCCUUCUCGAAGAUUCAAACUGAAAGCAACACUUAAACUUUUGAGACUUUGCCUAUUACUUUUAAUUUUUCACCUCUCAUUUUGGCUUCUAGCCCAAAGCUAGUGGUACACACCCACACAUGCACACAACAUACACACACAUACACAUUAUGUUUUAGCUGUUUCUGUCAAAAAUAUUUUAAGGACUUUCCCACAUUGUUUUCCAGGCUGAGAAGUGUGUAUGAAUCGGUGAAAGACCUUGUCUCAUUAAGUCAGGAGGAGCAACCCUCAUGGCUCCUAUGACUUUUCAAAGUACUUCUUUAGAUAUAGGCUUACAGAAGUUACGGAAACCUACUAUGGGCUCUCCACAAUUUGUCCUUAGGGGAGGCUUACAUUUCUGAAGUUUUCCCUCCAGAACAAAGCAGAAUGUAAGUUGAAACAAAAUGGGAUAAAUCUGUGAUACCCCAAAACAAGUUAGAAUUGUACCCAACAAUAAAUUUUAUUUCCUCAGGUAAAAGCAAAAUGAAGAUGCUGGUUGGGCGUGUCGUGGACAGUUUUCCUGUUCAUUUGUUUUUUAAUAAGUAUUUUUUUUUAAAAGAAAUGGGUAAUAAUCAGGCAUGUUCCACAUCCCAAUGGCAGUUCUCAAGCUCUUCGCGGCGGCUUGGAUGGUCACCAAGUUUGCUAAUUCACCUUUCUCACCCCAGCACACCACAUCUGCUCCCUCCUGAAGAGUUGAGAUAAUACCUUCUUUCAAGAGAUGUCGUGAAAAUGUUUGUAAUUCAAAAGGCCUGAUACUAAGGUAUGUGUUAAAAAAGUAUUGCUACUUGAAUGUGAGGUUUUUAGUG
This 1000-nucleotide long non-coding RNA is filed under the name Dasypus novemcinctus (nine-banded armadillo). RNAcentral describes it as "lncRNA (ENSDNOG00000050400.1)". Lineage: Eukaryota; Metazoa; Chordata; Mammalia; Cingulata; Dasypodidae. The record is from RNAcentral.